Molecule: ribosomal RNA, 238 nt
Filed under: uncultured bacterium
Lineage: Bacteria
Description: partial 16S ribosomal RNA
Rfam family: Bacterial small subunit ribosomal RNA
Source: RNAcentral
UACGAAGGGGGCGAGCGUUGUUCGGAUUUACUGGGCGUAAAGGGCGCGCAGGCGGUCUUGAAAGUCAGGCGUGAAAGCCCCGGGCUUAACCUGGGAAUUGCGCUUGAUACUCUGAGACUGGAGUACGGGAGAGGAGAGUGGAAUUCCCAGUGUAGAGGUGAAAUUCGUAGAUAGUUGGGAAGAACACCCAGUGGCGAAGGCGGCUCUCUGGACCGUAACUGACGCUGAGGCGCGAAGC